RNAcentral lists this long non-coding RNA (1094 nucleotides) under Cricetulus griseus (Chinese hamster). RNAcentral's name for it is "lncRNA (ENSCGRG00015034061.1)". The record is from RNAcentral. Lineage: Eukaryota; Metazoa; Chordata; Mammalia; Rodentia; Cricetidae.
GCACCUUUUGUCUCAGAAGGCCUGUGAUGUGGCGGUUCCUAUUCUUAGGCACUUAGGCAAAGACGUGACUGUCCAUCCAGAGCUAGAGGACUGGAUGGCUCUCUCACUCACACAUGGAAGUCUAUCUUUUAGUGUGUGAAGUUCCUGGUGUAUACUGCUGGAUGGGAGUGUGUCCCGUUUGUUGUUCCUAAAUAAUUAAUACAGCAAAAGUCCACUGUACUGUAAGUUGAGUCCCUGUCAUUCUUCUCAAGAACUUGCUUUGUUAGCUGCAUCCCUGAAUCAGAGAGCAGUUCCUAGUUCAUUCAGCUUGAUCUUCAGCAUUGGCUAUUUCAUCCUUUUGGGCCUUUGGGUAGCACAGGUUUGGAGAGAUGAUCGGGUCUGGUCUGCGAAAAAUAAAUUAAGUUUAAAACACUUCCUUGGGAAUUAAUGAGUUGAUUCCACCAUAUUUUUAAAAAUGAGUUCAAAAGGCCCAUAGACUAUCAAUAAGUCUUUGGUGGGCUACUGGGACAUUGUUAUUUGGACCUAUUUGUGAUUAUUCUAAAUUACUGUUGGGCUGACAAUUUGAAUUGAUAUCAGGAGCAUCUACAUCUUUUUUUUUUUUUUUAAUUUUUCUUGCUGGCAUCUUCCAGGUGUGAAGGAAGGCAGACUUUGCACUUGAGGUGCUAUGCCCAUCUCCUUAGCGCCCAAGCCAGCGCUGCUUGCCCCAUCCGUGGCAACACCUGGUGAUGAUUCCUUUAGAGAAUCAAAAUGCAUCUUUCCUAGAUGCCAAUGUGGGGCGAUGGGAUCUGCACAGCCUCUUGUUCUCCAGGCCAUUAGUGUCUGGCUGCAGGUGGAGACCAUCUGAGCGGGCAAUCCGGACACCUGCAGAUGAGAGACGCUACAUUCAUCUGUAGACUUUGUGUUUGAGUUUACAGUUAGGAGAAAUGGGACACCAUUAGUCUUUUUGGGCAAGCAAAGGUGGGGUUUUUUUUGUGAAUGAACAAACCCUGCCCCUAGUCUUGGAGCACCCAUCCUUGUUGCACGGGCGGGUCCAUUCCCUAACCCUUGACCAUUUUGCAUCAGUGUUGUUGGAUAGAUAGUGUUGCAAACAAGAG